UAAUAAGUGUUUUAUGGCACUCUUUAAAUCCAUAUCCACCUUGUGUGCAAUGUCAGUCGAUCUUCUUCAUGGAGAUCGACCAAACAUCAACCUUAUCUUUUAACUCUUUGUCUGAAAAAUAUUAUGAAUAAACAAUUCAAAAUA
Molecule: unclassified non-coding RNA, 144 nt
Filed under: soil metagenome
Description: partial internal transcribed spacer 1
Source: RNAcentral